ACUUAAGCAUAUCAAUAAGCGGAGGAAAAGAAACCAACAGGGAUUGCCUCAGUAACGGCGAGUGAAGCGGCAACAGCUCAAAUUUGAAAUCUGGCUCUUUCAGGGUCCGAGUUGUAAUUUGCAGAGGAUGCUUCGGGUUCGGCUCCGGUCUAAGUUCCUUGGAACAGGACGUCAUAGAGGGUGAGAAUCCCGUAUGUGAUCGGUCGUCUCGCCCGUGUGAAGCUCCUUCGACGAGUCGAGUUGUUUGGGAAUGCAGCUCAAAAUGGGUGGUAAAUUUCAUCUAAAGCUAAAUAUUGGCCAGAGACCGAUAGCGCACAAGUAGAGUGAUCGAAAGAUGAAAAGCACUUUGGAAAGAGAGUCAAACAGUACGUGAAAUUGUUGAAAGGGAAGCGCUUGCAACCAGACUUGCCCGCGGGUGAUCAGCCGGUAUUCGUACCGGUGCACUCACCCGUGGUCAGGCCAGCAUCGGUUUGGGCGGCUGGAUAAAGUCCACCGGAAUGUAACUCCUCUCGGGGAGUGUUAUAGCCGGAGGUGCCAUGCAGCCCGCCCGGACCGAGGACCGCGCUUCGGCUAGGAUGCUGGCGUAAUGGUUGUAAGCGACCCGUCUUGA
Molecule: ribosomal RNA, 610 nt
Filed under: Acarospora bullata
Lineage: Eukaryota; Fungi; Ascomycota; Lecanoromycetes; Acarosporales; Acarosporaceae
Description: partial large subunit ribosomal RNA
Rfam family: Eukaryotic large subunit ribosomal RNA
Source: RNAcentral